GUCCACGCCCUAAACGUUGCGCACUAGGUGUAGGGAGUAUCGACCCUCCCUGUGCCGUAGCUAACGCAUUAAGUGCGCCACCUGGGGGAGUACGGUCGCAAGACUGAAACUCAAAGAAAUUGACGGGGGCCCGCACAAGCGGUGGAUUAUGCGGUUUAAUUCGAUGCAACGCGAAGAACCUUACCAGGGCUUGACAUCACCGCAAGGACCAUACCUCCGACGAAAAUUGGAGGCUUAGGUAGACAGGUGUUGCAUGGCUGUCGU
RNAcentral lists this ribosomal RNA (264 nucleotides) under uncultured bacterium. RNAcentral's name for it is "partial 16S ribosomal RNA". It matches the Rfam family "Bacterial small subunit ribosomal RNA", at positions 793 to 1055 of the family's 1533-position model. The record is from RNAcentral.